UUCGGGACCCUCUGACAUCAAUUAAAAUUGGAAUCGAUACAGAGAAGAUUAGCAUGGCCCCUGCGCAAGGAUGACACGCUAGAACUGAGUGGAUGCCCCUACGGGGGCUAAAUCUUU
Molecule: non-coding RNA, 117 nt
Organism: Spizellomyces punctatus DAOM BR117
Lineage: Eukaryota; Fungi; Chytridiomycota; Chytridiomycetes; Spizellomycetales; Spizellomycetaceae
Source: Rfam